RNAcentral lists this ribosomal RNA (253 nucleotides) under uncultured bacterium. RNAcentral's name for it is "partial 16S ribosomal RNA". It matches the Rfam family "Bacterial small subunit ribosomal RNA", at positions 524 to 776 of the family's 1533-position model. The record is from RNAcentral.
UACGUAGGGUGCAAGCGUUAUCCGGAAUUAUUGGGCGUAAAGAGCUCGUAGGCGGUCUGUCACGUCGGCUGUGAAAACCCGAGGCUCAACCUCGGGCCUGCAGUCGAUACGGGCAAACUAGAGUACUGCAGGGGAGACUGGAAUUCCUGGUGUAGCGGUGAAAUGCGCAGAUAUCAGGAGGAACACCGGUGGCGAAGGCGGGUCUCUGGGCAGUAACUGACGCUGAGGAGCGAAAGCGUGGGGAGCGAACAGG